This 803-nucleotide ribosomal RNA is filed under the name uncultured eukaryote. RNAcentral describes it as "partial Eukaryotic large subunit ribosomal RNA". It matches the Rfam family "Eukaryotic large subunit ribosomal RNA", at positions 1139 to 1941 of the family's 3401-position model. The record is from RNAcentral.
GGUAAGCAGAACUGGCGAUGCGGGAUGAACCGAAAGCAGUGUUAAGGCGCCUAACUACACGCUCAUUUAGACCCCAGGAAAGGUGUGGAUGCGUAUGGACAGCAGGACGGUGGUCAUGGAAGUCGACAUCCGCUAAGGAUUGUGUAACAACUCACCUGCCGAACGCAUCUGCCCUGAAAAUGGAUGGCGCUCAAGCGUGUGGCCGAUACACUGCCGCUAAAACGAAGCUUAUGUUUUAGUGAGUAGGAGGGCGUCGAGCUCGUUUAGAAGCUUUGGGCGUGAGUCUGGGUGGAACGGGCUCGAGUGCAGAUCUUGGUGGAAGUAGCAUAUAUUCAAGCGAGAACCUUGAGGACUGGAGUGGAGAAGGGUUCCAUGUAAACUGCGAUUGACCAUGGGUGAGUCGAACCUAAGAGAUGGGGUAAUUCCGUGAGAGAAGCGUGUAGAACGCUAUCCAUCGAAAGGGAAACGGGUUAAUAUUCCCGUACCAAAAAACGGAGUGUACGCGGUAACGUAAAUGAACCCGGGGACGCCGGUAGAGACUCUGGGGAGAGUUCUCUUUUCUAUUUAAAAACGCUUCUAUCCAUGGAAUCGGGUUAUCCGGAGAAAUGGUGGGAUGUGCUGAAAAAUGACACCACCGCGUGUCGUCCGGUGUGUCUCUGUCGGCCCUUGAAAACCCGGGGGAUGAUUUGACUCUCGAACUUGGUCGUACCCAGAACCGCAUCAGGUCUCCAAGGUGAGUAGCCUCGAGUCGAUAGACGAAGGUGGGUAAGGGAAGUCGGCAAAAUAGAUCCGUAACUUCGGGA